This 105-nucleotide non-coding RNA is filed under the name Xaviernesmea oryzae. RNAcentral describes it as "Rhizobium oryzae Glycine sequence". It matches the Rfam family "Glycine riboswitch aptamer". Rfam says of the family: This family represents the bacterial glycine riboswitch. Glycine riboswitches usually consist of two metabolite-binding aptamers domains with similar structures in tandem. The aptamers cooperatively bind glycine to regulate the expression of downstream genes. The record is from Rfam by way of RNAcentral. Lineage: Bacteria; Pseudomonadati; Pseudomonadota; Alphaproteobacteria; Hyphomicrobiales; Rhizobiaceae.
GCGACCGCGUUGGGAGAAUCCGGAGCCUCGAUGAAUGAUCGGGACGCCGGUGCCGAAGGAGCAACCGCCCCGGAAACUCUCAGGCCCAAGGACCAGCGCAGGCCG